GUGAGUGGAGUUGCAAGUGGUGUCUAAACCAUCUUUCUUUCCAAUAACGGACUGGGCCUAAACCCAAGCAGAGAGGAGUGUGAAAAGGAAAGCAGGGGGUGCAAGGAAAAAUAUAUCUAUUUUUUGUUUUAGGGUUUGGCCCAAUGUUUUUUUGUUCAGAAAUCCCUAGGGGUUUCAGCAUUUCCCCCUUCAUUCCCAACACUCAUACUCAAUUCUCAGACCCAAGAUCCCUUUCCCCUCCCGGAGGUUCACCGCCGCUCCCAGCUAGAAACCGGCCUCCACGCCACCGCCUUCCACCAGUUUUGAAAUCGCCGGCGACAGCAGGUACGUCCGACACCAAACGGCAGCCACUGCGUCACUGCUUCUAGCCACCGCCGCACGCCCAACCUCCAUCCGACUGGCAGCCGCGAGCCACCGGAGUCGCCGCCAGUCGAGGCGAAAUCUCUCCUCCUCUGUCGCUCGUCGCGCGCGGGAAGUUCUCUCCCUUCUCUGUCCAUAGUUGCCGCCAUCACAGAGGCGGAAACUGCCGCCACCGAGGCUGCCGCGAUGGGCUCUCCUAUUUCUCUUUCAAGGGUUCUUUCCUCUCCAGCAUCACCACCGGACCGACGCAUUCUUCCCUCGUUUUUCUCAUUUUUUAUUUACUCAUUUAUUGAUUAGUGGAUUGGGAACGGUGGGUGUCUGUUGUGUUCGACUGAGUAUGAGUACGAGUGUGAGUAGUGGUGGCCAUUUUUGGAAUUAAUCUGAUGGAUGUUUAUAGCAUAGAAACGUUGAGGGAGUGUAUACCCAUCUUCUAUUAUCAUUUGUAUUUGAUGAAUUUUGUUGAAACUACAUAUUGUGUGCAGUUUUGAUUAACAGAGGAAAGCAAACACAACUGUAUGCAUUGAUUGAACACAAUUUCAUUCAUCUUUCAGCAGGCAUAAGGCAAACAUAUAUAGAGCAUAUAAACGAGCAUGACCAAAGAGCUUGGAUGUGCCAGAAAAUUAUAGUGAACGUGAACAAGGGUUACCAGAUGGCAACGAGGAUACCAGGACGGAGUUGAAAGAAAAUGAAAGUUAUUUUUUAGCUCCUGUACUAAGGCUCAGUGUUUUUUCGUGAUCUCCCCUCCUCCCCUUAUGACCGUGAUGAAAACCCUUUUCAAAAAACAAUCCAAACUCCUCUCUCCCCUGCAUCCUGCGAGCUCUGGGAUAUCUUCUGGCGUGGGAUUUUCCUUUUGUUUUUUUUCUUCUCUUCAUGUUCACUGUAUCGGUUAUCAGUUGGCAGAAGCUUGCUUUCAAAAAAAAUCAUUCUUCUUUGAUGUAUACUUGCAGUCGUAAGUAGGGAAUUAUAGGAAGAAGAGUCUCUGCCUUUAGUUGCUAGCAUUGUAAAUGUAUAUGCUGUUUUUUGUCUGAAACACUGUUUACUGCUGUUUUAUGCUACAAGAAGGGGUUGACCUUGGGUUUGCUCU
Long non-coding RNA from Vigna angularis (adzuki bean), 1444 nucleotides. RefSeq lists it as uncharacterized. The transcript is spliced from 2 exons. Lineage: Eukaryota; Viridiplantae; Streptophyta; Magnoliopsida; Fabales; Fabaceae. The record is from RefSeq and is a predicted model, not a curated record.